This 642-nucleotide unclassified non-coding RNA is filed under the name Hevea brasiliensis (rubber tree). Lineage: Eukaryota; Viridiplantae; Streptophyta; Magnoliopsida; Malpighiales; Euphorbiaceae. The record is from RNAcentral.
AAUAUAAUAAUAUUUUAAAGGUUUGAGUGGGUCAAAAAAUUUAUGGGGUCAUAUAGGUAAUUUAAUAUACAGUAUAUAAAGAGAUUUUUUUUUUUUUGAAAAAAAACUUGAGUGGGACCCCACUCACUUGCACCUAAAUCUGCCUUUGGGCACUAUUUGAGCAACUCCUCUCACCUUUGAUCAGUUCCUCAAAUGAGAUGAGAGUAAACAAAAGUUAUUACCUGUCCCCUCCAACCAAAAGCAAGAAUAAAAAUGGAUACAUAUAGAAUGAAUUUCUUUCUUGAAUAUUUUAAAAGCAUUUUGUCUAUUCCAUUAACUGAACAACAUCAAAAUAACAAUUUACAGAUUGAAGGUUAUCCAGCCUGCUUAUGUAAAAGCUCAGGAUAGUAGCAACAAAGAACCAGUUAAAGUCAACCAGAACUAAAACAAAUUUGUGUACUCGAAAAAUAUGGCAUAUUGAUAGUUCCAAAUAUAAUCAUUUUAAAUACAAGCCAGUAUCGAAUUUCCAGGAAAUUCUGGCCACAUGCAAUGCUGAAAGUAAAUAAUGAUUAUAAGGAUGAUCUUGCUAAUAAAAGACUGAUUUUACCUGGGUGCCACUUCCAUUGUCACUUCCAUCCCCAACAUUUAAACCAAUGCUUCCAU